UGGUCCCUCGGGACCAGCAGUAGGGAAUCUUCCACAAUGGGCGAAAGCCUGAUGGAGCAACGCCGCGUGGGUGAAGAAGGUCUUCGGAUCGUAAAACCCUGUUGUUAGAGAAGAAAGUGCGUGAGAGUAACUGUUCACGUUUCGACGGUAUCUAACCAGAAAGCCACGGCUAACUACGUGCCAGCAGCCGCGGUAAUACGUAGGUGGCAAGCGUUAUCCGGAUUUAUUGGGCGUAAAGGGAACGCAGGCGGUCUUUUAAGUCUGAUGUGAAAGCCUUCGGCUUAACCGGAGUAGUACAUUGGAAA
RNAcentral lists this ribosomal RNA (305 nucleotides) under uncultured bacterium. RNAcentral describes it as "bacterial SSU rRNA". It matches the Rfam family "Bacterial small subunit ribosomal RNA", at positions 334 to 632 of the family's 1533-position model. The record is from RNAcentral.